CCCACCCACCACCCUUUUUCCUUUUUCUGGAUGGAUAAAUAGUCAAAUUGAUGCCUAGAAAAGUAGAUGUCGCAAAAUUAUAAUGAUAAUAUUAACAAAAUAAUGCUACAGAUGAACAGUAACAAGAGCCAGGAAGAGCUCAUCCAACAAAAUUUCCAGGACUUCUCUGUUCUCUGAACACUAAAUGCCUUAUAAACACUCGACAAUAUAUCUACCAAUAGCCUCACAAAAGCUAGAAAUCCAAAAAUUAAGCAAAUAAAAAACACAGCGAUACCCUUAUUUUCGAUAGAUAUUUGAUUCUCUCGAACUCCUUCAACCAUCGACCUUAGAGCAAGAUUAUCCCCGAGGAGAUUAUCCAUCUGUGUAGAAACAAGGGAUUUCCAAGAAAGGAGAUCGUCAACUUCUUUAGCUAUGACCUCCUGGCUGCCAAGGAGAUUCUGUAUGUCAGGUAUGAUUUUUUCUAAAACCAUAUCUUUCUCUCCUAAAUCUUUGUCAUAUUCUUUGAAAAUAUUGCCAUAUCUGUAAUUCACCUCCUCCAAAUAUCGUUCCAAAACAGAUAAACUUAAGUCCAGAAAAUGAACUUUCUGCAUCAAUAUUUUAAGAACAGUGUCCCCAGGCAUUCUACCCACUUGUUGGUGAUGAACUUCUUCCACUGGAUCUGGCACUUUAUUUUUUGGAACUUCACGCCUUAUAUUUGAAUUCCCAACUGAAGUGCCUGAUUCAACGUCAAUCCUCAGUUCUUGAUCACAAUCAUCAACAUAUGAAAACUCUGAUUGAGAGGGUAAUACCUUCCGCUCGCCAGUUCCCUCUUCAUAUACAACUUUGUUUUCAGCAGAGAUCAAAUCUUCUAGCAUUCUUUCUACAGCAUCAACUCCAUAAACUUCAACAACACUUAGGGUACAAUAAAACUCUGAACCAUAAUGACUAAGAAGAUUGAGCUUUAGAUAUCUCACCCACUGUGGCUCCUGAAGAGCAAACCUUUGAGCAUGCUUAACAUUAGCAGCUGUAAAAUUCCCCAGCCUCACCCAUGAGUCUGUUGGAUAAACCAAACUACCAAGCAGCUCAAAAUCUUUUAAAUUAGAAGAGUAGUGCUCAAAAUUUGCUAUUUUAAUUGUAUCUACUAAGGUUUCUUCUGAAAGUUCUAUUAUAACAAAUUUCUCUUCAGCAGAGCAUGGAUUUCGAAGGUACUUGUCCUCGUCUUUGUCUAAGACAUGGGAGGCUCCUUUUGCUUCCUUAUUAAAAGCCAAUACCUUCGCUCCCUUUGAUGCUGAAGCAUAAUUGUACUCUUUACCUCCAGGCUCUACUCUAUGAAUUACACCUCCAGCUUGAGCAGUUCCUAAUUUAGUUUUAGAGCUGAAUGAUCUGCUUUUGAAUUCGUCAAGACCCAAGGGUACAGAAUGAGAUAAUCUGCCAAUCUUAGGACCAUUAUUUUCAAAUUUCACAUCUGAAACAGAGUUUGCCUCAGGUUGCUCCAGAACAGAGGAAUAUUUUGUGUUUCCUUCACUACCAAGUAACUCAUCAUUGGAAGCUCUUUCUGUACACAAACUUUCAUCUGAAUAGACAGAACAAAUUUCAUUGCAAGGUUCCAAAUUUGCCUCAUUGCAAGUUGAUGCGCCAGCUGCAAGCACUGCAGAUUCACCCCUAUAACCAUCACCAUGACUGAUCCAUAAGCUGAAAAGGAAGAAAAGCCCCCAUAAAGCAAGAAACAAAGAAAGGGAAACCCUGCAUAAGUGAGUUCUUCCACUGAUAGCCUUCUGAAAAGCUCUUCUUUGAAGAAGAGCUCUACGUGAUCUCUGCAUUGCACAUCAAUCCAAUGCAGUGCAGACAGCUAAUUAAUUAAAAAACAAUGAAGCACCCUGCACCAGAUAACACAAGGACUCACCUUCAUUAACUUCAAUUUACAGAAUAUAAAUUUUUAAAAUGCUCCAAGUCAAUACUAAUAUACUGAACUCUCAUGGGUAAUCUUCAAACUUCAAUCAAAGAAAAAGUGUAUUUAGCUUAUAGAUUCAGCAAUCACACAUAAAAUUCAACAGACUGCCACUAAAUAGUCUUCAAUAACAAACAGAACGACUCGAUAGGCUAAAAAGAGCAAGAGGUACACUGUAAGCAACAAGUAAAACAUAAUCUCCAAUUAAAUGAAAAAGUACACAAGUAUUACUUCAACAAUUGGGAAAGUGAAUCUGAUUUAGAAAUGUCCAUUCAUGGAAUUACAAGUUAUUAGCUUGCAAAUUAAUUCACUAUCUACAUCCAGUUCAAUACACCGCAAUGGGGUGUCUUCAGAUAGUGCCAAAAAUUCACCUUAGCAGCGAAGAAAAACAACUCUUGGAUCAUAAGUAAACACUGCUUCACCAAAAUCGAUUUUGAAAUAACCCAAACUAACAUAUAUUGAAAACCCAAAUUACAAUCAAUCAAUUCUACGCAUAGACCAUCUUGUUGCCAUGUAAAAUCUCGAAUAUAAAAUAUUUCCCUAAACGACAGAACCUGAAACUAGAAGAAUAAGCACAAAUAAGAUCUUAUACAUGUAUAAAUAAAACAUUAAAUAGACAAGAUAAAAUUUCAAAAAAAGA
Molecule: unclassified non-coding RNA, 2567 nt
Filed under: Hevea brasiliensis (rubber tree)
Lineage: Eukaryota; Viridiplantae; Streptophyta; Magnoliopsida; Malpighiales; Euphorbiaceae
Source: RNAcentral